RNAcentral lists this ribosomal RNA (445 nucleotides) under uncultured bacterium. RNAcentral's name for it is "bacterial SSU rRNA". It matches the Rfam family "Bacterial small subunit ribosomal RNA", at positions 354 to 796 of the family's 1533-position model. The record is from RNAcentral.
GUGAGGAAUAUUGGUCAAUGGUCGGAAGACUGAACCAGCCAUGCCGCGUGCAGGAUGAAGGCCCUACGGGUCGUAAACUGCUUUUAAGAGGGAAGAAACCUGAAUACGUGUAUUCAGCUGACAGUACCUUUUGAAUAAGCAUCGGCUAACUCCGUGCCAGCAGCCGCGGUAAUACGGAGGAUGCAGGCGUUAUCCGGAUUUAUUAGGUUUAAAGGGUGCGUAGGCGGGACUAUAAGUCAGUGGUGAAAUCCUGCAGCUUAACUGUAGCACUGCCAUUGAUACUGUAGACCUUGAAUUUAGUUGAAGUAGGCGGAAUGUGUAGUGUAGCGGUGAAAUGCUUAGAUAUUACACAGAACACCAAUUGCGAAGGCAGCUUACUAAGCUAACAUUGACGCUGAUGCACGAAAGCGUGGGUAGCGAACAGGAUUAGAUACCCUUGUAGUCC